This 497-nucleotide ribosomal RNA is filed under the name uncultured bacterium. RNAcentral's name for it is "partial 16S ribosomal RNA". It matches the Rfam family "Bacterial small subunit ribosomal RNA", at positions 28 to 507 of the family's 1533-position model. The record is from RNAcentral.
GAUGAACGCUGGCGGCGUGCCUAAUACAUGCAAGUCGAGCGAACAGACGAGGAGCUUGCUCCUCUGACGUUAGCGGCGGACGGGUGAGUAGCACGUGGAUAACCUACCUAUAAAACUGGGAUAACUUCGGGAAACCGGAGCUAAUACCGGAUAACAUGUUGAACCGCAUGGUUCAACAGUGAAAGACGGUCUUGCUGUCACUUAUAGAUGGAUCCGCGCCGCAUUAGCUAGUUGGUAAGGUAACGGCUUACCAAGGCAACGAUGCGUAGCCGACCUGAGAGGGUGAUCGGCCACACUGGAACUGAGACACGGUCCAGACUCCUACGGGAGGCAGCAGUAGGGAAUCUUCCGCAAUGGGCGAAAGCCUGACGGAGCAACGCCGCGUGAGUGAAGAAGGUCUUCGGAUCGUAAAACUCUGUUAUUAGGGAAGAACAAAUGUGUAAGUAACUAUGCACGUCUUGACGGUACCUAAUCAGAAAGCCACGGCUAACUACGUG